Long non-coding RNA from Oncorhynchus nerka (sockeye salmon), 1438 nucleotides. RefSeq lists it as uncharacterized. Lineage: Eukaryota; Metazoa; Chordata; Actinopteri; Salmoniformes; Salmonidae. The record is from RefSeq and is a predicted model, not a curated record. The transcript has 5 exons.
AGAAUUACCAGGGAGAUCUAACUGCAAUUUCAGACUGAAUGGAGAAUUGUUGUCUACGGUUUAUACUACACUGAAUGUGCAAACAGGCACAUUUAGUAACCCAUUGAUACAUCUGUUUCGAGAGAGCAGCAACAGCAGUGAGGUGAAGUUGAUCUGCAAGGUCAUAGUUCCCCAGGUUCCCCAUACAGCAGAGCCGAAUGGAUCAUGAGCAGAUCAACAACAUCUGUUACUCUGACUUCAUCGGACAAAGUCAGAAGUGACCGAUUCUCAUCUCCCUCAUUCAACGGAUAUGAUUUCCCACUGCAUGUCUCACCGGUGACAUUUGAGGAUAGUGGAGUUUUCACAUGUUUCUUUGAACAACAAAGGUUCAGCUGGGUUAAAAUCACAACCAUUCGAGUAUCUGAAUCUGGAGGGCCCCCUGGUGGCCAGCCCGUGGUGGUGAGGUGUGAGGUGUCGGAGGUGAGCACCGACCCUGUGACCCUGGUCUGGAUGAGGAUGGAGGGAGCAGGUGGCUGCUGGUUAAACAGGACGUCCUGACAGAGAGUCACCCUAACAGGACGCUCAGUGUGACCCUGCCCAGCCUCCGUAGGGACCAGCUGCACUGGCAGUGUGCUGUGUUCACAGAGGGCAUGCUCAGAGCGACAGCCUCCUGACCCUCACACUCCCCACACAGACAAAAAUGUCUUCAACGACAGGGAUGGGCACCGAGACAGUGGUCAGAGGGGUGAUUACAAUGGCUGCCACCCUAGGAAUUCUGGGACUUCUCGGGUUCUACUGUCGAAGACCAAGCGGCACCCAGACACAGAGACAAAAGGAGGAACCUGCUCAACUGGAGGAGACUAGUGUAUAGCCUUGUUGCUAGCCUAUGGCCUGUGGCUGUGUUGAAAUAUAGCUUUCCCACCCAUGUCUGUACCAACCAGUGACGUCUUUCACACUGAAUUACCACAUGACACACUGUGUUCUGUCAAAAGGUCUGGCAAUAGAAACUUCACUGGUGUUAAAAUAAUGUGUUAACCACCAACAACCUUCCCCUCAAUGACUAAUAUUGAAAACAUGACCAUGUUAUGAUACUGUAAGCAUCUUUCCAAAAGACCUAAAUAAUUCACACUGAGUGUACAAAACAUUAGGAACACCUGCUCUUUCCAUGACAUAGUCUGACCAGGUGAAUCCAGGUGAAAGCUAUGAUCCCUUAUUGAUGUCACUUGUUAAAUCCACUACGAUCAGUGUAGAUAAAGGGGAGGAGACAGGUUAAAGAAGGAUUCUUGAGACGAUUGAGACAUGGAUUGUGUAUGUGUGGCAUUCAGAGGGUGAAUGGUCAAGACAAAAUAGUAAUGUUUUUACACUCAGUGUAUAUUAUUUAGUUCAUCCUAGAAAUGUACAUUUCCAUUCAUCCUCAGUCUGUAAUGUUUGUACACAAUAAAUGGGGAUGUUAAUACUA